Molecule: ribosomal RNA, 850 nt
Filed under: uncultured bacterium
Lineage: Bacteria
Description: bacterial SSU rRNA
Rfam family: Bacterial small subunit ribosomal RNA
Source: RNAcentral
ACCGGCUAACUCCGUGCCAGCAGCCGCGGUAAUACGGAGGGUGCAAGCGUUAUUCGGAAUCACUGGGCGUAAAGGGUGCGUAGGCGGUUUGGAAAGUCAGAUGUGAAAGCCUAUGGCUUAACCAUAGAACUGCAUUUGAAACUUCCAAACUAGAAUACUGAAGGGGCAGAUGGAAUUAGUGGUGUAGGGGUAAAAUCCGUAGAUGUCACUAGGAAUACCGAAAGCGAAAGCGAUCUGCUGGGAAGUUAUUGACGCUGAGGCACGAAAGCGUGGGGAGCAAACGGGAUUAGAUACCCCGGUAGUCCACGCCCUAAACGAUGAAUGCUAGUCGUCGGAAAGCUCGUCUUUUCGGUGAUGCAGUUAACACAUUAAGCAUUCCGCCUGGGGAGUACGGUCGCAAGAUUAAAACUCAAAGGAAUAGACGGGGACCCGCACAAGUGGUGGAGCAUGUGGUUUAAUUCGAAGAUACGCGAAGAACCUUACCUAGCCUUGACAUUGAUAGAAUCUGGUAGAGAUACCGGAGUGCCUGCUUGCAGGAACUUGAAAACAGGUGCUGCACGGCUGUCGUCAGCUCGUGUCGUGAGAUGUUGGGUUAAGUCCCGCAACGAGCGCAACCCUCGUCGUUAGUUGCUAACAGUUCGGCUGAGCACUCUAGCGAGACUGCCUUCGCAAGGAGGAGGAAGGUGAGGACGACGUCAAGUCAUCAUGGCCCUUAUGGCUAGGGCUACACACGUGCUACAAUGGGGCGUACAGAGAGUUGCGAUACCGCGAGGUGGAGCUAAUCUCAUAAAGCGUCUCUCAGUUCGGAUUGAUCUCUGCAACUCGAGAUCAUGAAGCUGGAAUCACUAGU